GCCGGGUCGGGCAGCCCUCAACCGUUCUACCCCCUCAUCCCUUUAGGGUGUCGCGCAGAGGCGCUCCUGUCACGAGACCCCACCGUUGAAUUGCUGAAGGGUUUGCAAGUGUAUCCCGCUAACCUUCAACAGAAACUAGGUUACCAGGAGGAACAUGAAUAGCGUAAGCAAAUACAGUUCCACCGUUGGUUCCAGCCCACAGUGACGGCUCAUGGUUACACACAAGAGAUGAGCAAAAUAACAAUCAAGAUAUUGGAGAAAAACUUGGCAUUAUUAGAGACUGUCUGCCCACAUUAUGGAAACAAGUGGCUUUGUGUCCCACUAAAUAUGGACCUUCUGAAAUAUCAGACUCCACCGACAUACAGAUAUAUAGGUUAAACAAGCUGUAUGACAUUUCCCUCACCAUCUCU
Leucoraja erinaceus (little skate) is the source of this 410-nucleotide long non-coding RNA. RefSeq lists it as uncharacterized. The record is from RefSeq and is a predicted model, not a curated record. The transcript is spliced from 3 exons. NCBI's taxonomy places the organism in Eukaryota, Metazoa, Chordata, Chondrichthyes, Rajiformes, Rajidae.